ACCCAGCUGAGUAGUCCUAAAUAGGACGGAACGCGCGUCCUGUAU
Non-coding RNA from Schistosoma mattheei, 45 nucleotides. NCBI's taxonomy places the organism in Eukaryota, Metazoa, Platyhelminthes, Trematoda, Strigeidida, Schistosomatidae. The record is from Rfam.